Molecule: ribosomal RNA, 1179 nt
Filed under: Halorubrum sp. EzS6
Lineage: Archaea; Methanobacteriati; Methanobacteriota; Halobacteria; Halobacteriales; Haloferacaceae
Description: bacterial SSU rRNA
Rfam family: Archaeal small subunit ribosomal RNA
Source: RNAcentral
AGUGUAUACCAUACCACCACUGGAAUGAGUGGUAUGCCAAACGCUCCGGCGCCGAAGGAUGUGGCUGCGGCCGAUUAGGUAGACGGUGGGGUAACGGCCCACCGUGCCAAUAAUCGGUNUGGGUCAUGAGAGUGAGAACCCAHAGACGGAAUCUGAGACAAGAUUCCGGGCCCUACGGGGCGCAGCAGGCGCGAAACCUUUACACUGCACGACAGUGCGAUAGGGGGAUCCCAAGUGCACAGGCAUAGCGCCUGWGCUUUUCGGUACCCUAAGGCGGUACCAGAAUAAGGGCUGGGCAAGACAGGGUGCCAGCCGCCGCGGAGAAUACCGGCAGCCCAAGUGAUGGCCGAUCUUAUUGGGCCUAAAGCGUCCGUAGCUGGCCGCGCAAGUCCAUCGGGAAAUCCACCUGCUCAACAGGUGGGCGCCCGGUAGAAACUGCGUGGCUUGGGACCGGAAGGCGCGACGGGUACGUCCGGGGUAGGAGUGAAAUCCCGGUAAUCMUGGACGGNACCGCCGAUGGCGAAAGCACGUCGCGAGAACGGAUCCGACAGUGAGGGACGAAAGCCAGGGUCUCGAACCGGAUUAGAUACCCGGGUAGUCCUGGCCGUAADCAAUGUCUGCUAGGUGUGGCUCCCACUACGAGUGGGUGCUGUGCCGUAGGGAAGCCGCUAAGCAGACCGCCUGGGAAGUACGUCYGCAAGGAUGAAACUUAAAGGAAUUGGCGGGGGAGCACUACAACCGGAGGAGCCUGCGGUUUAAUUGGACUCAACGCCGGACAUCUCACCAGCAUCGACUGUAGUAAUGACGAUCAGGUUGAUGACCUUAUCCGAGCUUCAGAGAGGAGGUGCAUGGCCGCCGUCAGCUCGUACCGUGAGGCGUCCUGUUAAGUCAGGCAACGCANCGAGACCCGCACCCUUACUUGCCAGCAGUACCGCGAGGUAGCUGGGGACAGUAGGGGGACCGCCGUGGCUAACACGGAGGAAGGAWCGGGCAACGGUAGGUCAGUAUGCCCCGAAUGUGCUGGGCAACACGCGGGCUACAAUGGUCGAGACAAAGGGUUCCAACUCCGAAAGGAGACGGUAAUCUCAGAAACUCGAUCGUAGUUCGGAUUGUGGGCUGCAACUCGCCCACAUGAAGCUGGAUUCGGUAGUAAUCGCGUGUCACAAGCGCGCGGUGAAU